UUACUCAGGAAAUACAAAACCAUAUUCUUUGAAAUCCACUGCGAAAAAAAAACAUAAUAGGCAUGCAGUCGUCACGUUUCCGACAGCAAGGGAAGUACUGUCUAAACUCUUUAGACCAAUUUUUUUAAGUGAAAAUUUUCCAAUGGUCCCCCCUUCUUCACUUUGCGGCCAAAUUUUGACAUUUUCGAAACUUAAUUAAACACAUUUUCUUGUAGAUUUCGAGCUCUACAACUCACUUCCAGAAUCGUUUCUUUGAUAACUGCAACCGUUUUUCCGGAAUCGGCCGUUGAAAUAUCGAGAUUUUUAGAAAUUUUCAAAAAUUCGCAUUUCCUGAAAAUUUUCCAAUUUCCCCUUCUUCGCUGUUCGGCCAAAUUUUGACAUAUUUUCCGCAAUAGUUAUUAAUAAUAAAGUAGAAAUUCGCUAAAACGCCGCACUUUUACGCCAAACCGACGCGAUAAUCUUGCCGCCAUCCAACAGAAAUUAAUAGUGAACACAAAGAACCGCGACACGUGACCUUCGGACAGCUAGCUCAGGUGACAGUGACGUCAUCGUACGUCACGAUGAGAUUGCAAGAAUUAUUUUUCAUAUUUUGGCCGGGAAAAUGCACAUUUUCGGGGAUAAAUUAACAAUUUUUAAACAAAUUGAUUUGUUUUUAAUAAUUUCGGACUUGUAGGGCAACGAGUUUCGAUUUAAUUAUCAUAUUUAUUUAUGCUUAUCAUAUUUAAACAUUAUAAGUGAUAUUAAUUAUGUUUAAAAUUUAUAAAUUAAUAUCGUGCAAAUGUAUAGCUUUGAUCAACCAACUUCAAUCGUUUCGAAAAUUUUCCCAAAAUUUAAACAUUGUCGAGUGAACGAAUCACGGAAUCCGAUAAAUUAAAACUGAGGUCGUACUUACCCUGUUUUCAGUCCUUUUCGGAAAAAUAUCCAUUUCGUUCGUGUUUACAGUACUAAUACAACACAUUUUCACUAAUAUUUAUUAAUAAUAAAUUAGAAAUUCGUGAAAAGAGCCCUACUUUUAAGCCAAAACGGAGCUCCAGUGUUGUUGCUACCAGACCGGAAUCAAAACUAAACACAGAGGACCGAAAAAUGUGACCUUUUAUCAGGUAGGUCACGUGACAGUGACGUCAUCGUACGUCACGAUGAGAUUGCAAAAAUUAUUUUUCAUAUUUUCGCUCAGAAAUUGUACAUUUUCGGGGUUAAUUUAACAACGUUUAAACAAACUAAUUUGUUUUUGCUAACCUCGUGUUCUUAGGAAAAUGGUUUUCAGUUUAAUUAUCACAUAUUAAUAGUUAUCAUAUUUAAACAUUAUGAAUUAUAUUAAUUACGUUUAAAUUUUAUUUAAUUAUAUCGCGAAAAUGUAUAGCUUUGGCCCACCAACUUCACCGAUACAUCGCAGCAUAGAUCUUUUAUCAAUAGUGCCAACGCAAUGUUACAAAUCACUAACAUUGCUGAUUUAGUGAUGACGCUUAUCAAAGAAACGACUCCUAUUAAAGGUAGAAGUUGCCGAGGAAAAAAAGGAAAAUGAAGGAAAAAUUUGUUAACAACUUGUCUUCACAUUUGUCCUUAUAAAUAAUAAAUUAAAUGUAAUACAUUUUUGUUUCCUUAAGAAUACAAAGUUAACAAAGUUAGUUGAGUUACAAAAGUCUCUUUUGCUCCACGUUGGCCACCAACGAGCGAUUUUCAAGAUUUUUGUGAAACUUUGCUGGUUUUGAAUUUGAAUUUUCUGUCCUCGAUAGUUGAUGCUCAGCAAGAACCACGGGAAGGUCUGGAGCAGAUCUCGCUAGGAAAGGAGAGGGCUAGGAUUUGUUAAUGAGGGAUAGAACGUUAUACAGUACAAUACAAAAGAAAUACAAUACAGAUACAAAACAAAUGCAAAGUUAGUACCCAAUUCAUCACCGGAAGAAAUUGCACCAAAAAUUGAGAAUGUUGCAAAAUGAAAACCCAAGCAAGCACACCGAUGGAACUCGGAACGAAAUCUAUUGGUCGCAGUGCUCGUUCGUCCAAGGCAGGAAUGCAGCCGCAUAAAUCCAAGGCCGACUGACCUCAUCCUUAUAGGAUGAUGCGACCCAGCGUCUAAGGGCCAACAGAACCCCCCCAGACCAAGAGCUCCUGACGACAUGGAGAAUUCAGACCUGGAACCAAAGGAUGCGCUGUUGCAAAAUGAAAACCCAAGCAAGCACACCGAUGGAACUCGAAACGAAAUCUAUAGGUCGCAGCGCUCACACGCCCAAGGGAGAACGCAGCCGCAUAGAUACAGGGCCGACUGACCUCAUCCCUUUGAGAUGAUGAACCUCAUCCUUUUAGGAUGAUGACCCAGCGUCUAAGGGCCCAGAGAACCCCCCCAGGCCAAAGCGUCUGACGACAUGGAGAAUUCAGUCUCGGAACCAAAGAAUGCACUGUUGCAAAAUUAAAACCCAAGCAAAUGCACCGUGAAAACAAAGCAUUUGCACCACUGGAGCUAAAUUGGCAAGACCCAAGUUAAGUUAGUAACACAUACAAUAUACAGUACAAAAUGGUUCAAUUACAAAAGUUACAAUAUACAAAUUUCUCCACGUUUGCCACCAAAGAGCGAUGACUGUGCUCGCUCGUUGUUGUUGCCCAGCAAGAACCAAACAAUACGAGGAGGUCUGGAGUGCGUCUUGCCAUGAGAAAAACAAUAAAUUAGAAAUUCGCGAACACGGGCUACUUUUAAGCCAAAACGGAGCUCCGAAUGCUAAGAUGUUGCUGCCACCAGACCGAAAUCAAAACUAACCGAAAACCGCAAUAUUUGUUCAGGUAGCUCUCGUGACAGUGAUGUCAUCAAACAUCACGAUGAGAUUGUAAACAUUAUUUUUCAUAUUUUGACCGGAACAUUUUUAAUAUGUUCACGUUUGUAGGAAAACGGCUUUAAUUAUAUUAAUUAAUACUUAUCAUAUUUAAACAGUAUAUAUAAAUUAAAACUACAACCGUAUUUACUCCGUUUUUGGGAAUUUUUGGAAAAAUGCACACUUUGUUUCGUGUUCACAGAGCUAAUGCAGAACAUUUUCAUUAAUAUUUAUUAUCAAUCAAUUAGAAAUUCGCGAAAACGUGGUAGUUUUACGCCAGAACGGGGCUCCGAAUGCUCCGACGUUGCUGCCACCAGAUCGAAAUCAAAACUGAACACAACGGACCGAAGACCGUGCCUUUGCUCAAGUGGUCACGUGACAGUGACGUCAUGGUGUGUCACCAUGAGAUUACUAAAAUUAUUUUUCAUACUUUGCCCGGAAAAUUGCAAUUCAACAAUGUUUAAACAAAUUGAAUUGUUUAAAUAUUAUUUAAUUGUGUCAUGAUAGUUUCUUAGCAGUGUUUGCACGAGUUGAUUUCAUUAAUAAUUGUAAAUCUGUCAUUUAUCACCAUGUGUUAUUAUACACAACGAAUAAUUUUAAAAAUAAAUAAAUAAAUAAAUUCGCCACUUA
Molecule: long non-coding RNA, 3431 nt
Organism: Zophobas morio
Lineage: Eukaryota; Metazoa; Arthropoda; Insecta; Coleoptera; Tenebrionidae
Exons: 2
Source: RefSeq, a predicted model, not a curated record